Molecule: ribosomal RNA, 406 nt
Filed under: uncultured bacterium
Lineage: Bacteria
Description: partial 16S ribosomal RNA
Rfam family: Bacterial small subunit ribosomal RNA
Source: RNAcentral
GACGAACGCUGGCGGCGCGCUUAACACAUGCAAGUCGAGCGAAGCGGCGGACGGGUGAGUAACACGUGAGUAACCUGGCUUAGACAUUGGGAUAGCCUCGGGAAACCGGGAUUAAUACCAAAUGGUCUAAGAUGGACUCGCGUCCCAUUAGCUAGUUGGUAGGUAACGGCCCACCAAGGCGACGCAGGGUAGCCGGCCUGUGAGGGUGGACGGCCACUUUUGAGCUGAGCAACAGUCCAAACUCUGCGGGAGGGAGCAGUGGGGGAUAUUGCACAAUGGAGUGAACUCUGAUGCCGCGACGCCGCGUGAGCGAAGAAGGCGUUCGGGUCGUAAAGUUGUUUUAUAUGGGAAGCGGUACCAUAAGAAAAAGCACCGGCUAACUCCGUGCCAGCAGCCGCGGUAAUUC